Molecule: ribosomal RNA, 481 nt
Filed under: uncultured bacterium
Lineage: Bacteria
Description: partial 16S ribosomal RNA
Rfam family: Bacterial small subunit ribosomal RNA
Source: RNAcentral
GACGAACGCUGGCGGCGUGCUUAACACAUGCAAGUCGAACGAUGAAGCGGGUGCUUGCACUCGUGGAUUAGUGGCGAACGGGCGAGUACACGUGAGUAACCUGUCCUUUUCUUUGGGAUAACGGCUGGAAACGGCUGCUAAUACUGGAUAUUCAGGCUGCAUCGCAUGGUGUGGUUUGGAAAGGUUUUUUCUGGGAUUGGGUGGGCUCGCGGCCUAUCAGCUUGUUGGUGGGGUGAUGGCUUACCAAGGCUUUGACGGGUAGCCGGCCUGAGAGGGUGGUCGGUCGCACUGGGACUGAGAUACGGCCCAGACUCCUACGGGAGGCAGCAGUGGGGAAUAUUGCACAAUGGACGAAAGUUUGAUGCAGCGACGCCGCGUGGAGGGUGUAGGCCUUCGGGUUGUGAACUCCUUUUUCUCGCGAAAAAGGCACAGUUUUGGCUGUGUUGAUGGUAGUGGGGGAAGAAGCGCCGGCUAACUACGU